This 1876-nucleotide long non-coding RNA is filed under the name Marmota monax (woodchuck). Lineage: Eukaryota; Metazoa; Chordata; Mammalia; Rodentia; Sciuridae. The record is from RNAcentral.
CCUUCCUAAGGCCUGCGUUGAGUCCCGUUCUCUUGGCCUUCUGGCCUUACUCUAAUUUGUUCUCAUUUGUUUUGUCACUUACUGGGACCCUCUGGACUAUGAGUUUCAGGAAGAUGGUGCCUGAGGAAGGCAUUUGUUUGUUUUUGUUUUCUGACUUCUUGUCUUGCUUGGCUUUGUCAGGAGCAGCCUCUGCAGAUACGCGGAGUAAGUCCAGGGGUGCGGAUUGAGAUGGCCCAGGGCCACAGGCCACGGAGAGGGGGCUCAUUUCAGGGCCACCACUGUAUUUCAGAGCAUCCAGCUUAGUCCAAGUCCGAUGGGGCAGAAGGAGGGUAAGCCAUGAGGACGGUGACCUUCCAGGUCUUGGAAGAUCCCACGCAGGGCAAGACAGGUUGGGCCAGCACUUGGCUGGAGUGGCACCCGAGGGUUACACCUGGGAAAAGGUAACGGUGGCAGGUGCGCAGCAGGGUGCAAGAGGAGGGGUAAUUUGGUCAAUUUUGCCCAGUAAGAGCUUUUCAUUGGUGACUUCCUCUGCUCCGUGGGGCACAGGUUUGGGGCCCUGGCGUUGGAAACGUCUCUGGGUAACUGUGUCUUCAGUGAGUGGUGUCUGACUUCCGUGGGUGUUUUUAAGGCAGAGUUCGCCUCUCACCCUUCCAACUGUUCAUUCACUCACAGGUUCAACAAAGCUGUGCCGGAGUGGUCGCCAGGCGGUGGGGAAGAGGCAGAUGGAGCUUCCUCCUCCUGGAGAUCACUGUCCUGUGGUUGAUACGGACAUGGUGACAGACGGCAGGACAGAGCUCCUGGGAGACAGAUGAGGACCUCUAAUCCACCCUGGGGAGGCUGGGCCUGGGGACGGCUUCCAGAAGAGAUGGCAUUUAAGCUUAAUCUUCAAGCUUGGGCAGGGAGGGGGCCACGUGGAGGAGUCAUGGGAGGAGGUCACAGCCGGCCAGGGAGGUGCUGUGGCUCUGUCUGCUGGGCUUGGAGCUGCCUCCGUAGGGACAGCAACAGCGGGAGGCAGGAUGGAGGCCCAGCCAGGGGAGGCAGGAUGGAGACUUUGAGGCCAGGUGGAGGGAGGGACUUGGUUUUGUCCGGCAUGUCUGGAAGACCAAGGAAAGUACCUGAGCAGGGCGUGGGGUGAGGGGAGGGUGUGAGGAAGGCUCUCUGGGCAGGAAGUGGGGCUGUCUGCAGAUGGAUCAGCAGCUCUGCUCAUGCCAGGGGCUUCACAAGGCAGCUCCUGAAGUGGACGGCCUGGUGAGAAAGGACCCAUGGGCUCACAGAGGACUCACAGACAGGACGGUCUGCACCUGGGUGGCACACACCUGCCCCAGGGCAAGACAGGGCUGGGUUAGGAAUUUCCAAGGAGUUCCUGAAGCAGACACUACCAGCUCCUGGUGGGUAUUUCCCAAGGGGAGCGUGGCUUUGGGGCUUAUCUGAGACACUGUGUCUUUGUGCUGCUGUCAGUGUGGGGAAGUCAUCCCGAACCCAGGCCUCUUCUUCAGUUCCUCUCUACCUCCCAAGAGCUCCUGACUCCUGGUACCACUGACUCAUGCCUGGGGGUGGCUGUGGGCAUGCAACACCCAGGGGCAGGGGACCUGUUACCUCUGCAGAACGGGGAGCUUUCCUGUAGAUGGAGCUGGGUGGAAGGGUGACUUCUACCCUUGGAAGUCUUGCAGGGGACUCUGCGAGAUGAAUAGUGCCACCGUAUUCGCAGGUGUGAGAAGCACAGAGACCAUCUCCGGGAUGAAUGGAGAUUUUUAAAAACUGUCUUAAAGUUAAAAACUUAUGCAUUAUUACAAAAGUGAAAAAAAAUAAAGAAACAUACAGAAUAAAAAGCCCUACAUUAUUGAAUUUUUCUAUCCUAUCCCACUGUGUCCUCUCA